UGAAGAAUGUAGUGUUAAUUUCCUUGUUGAAGAGGAAGAUAAACUGAUUCUGGACACUUCAUCGCCAUCUGAUGCCAUUGAUCUUUUGACGACAUCUGAUAAUCGAAUCAGUCUCCUUCUUGCAGAGGCACAACUCCUUGCAGAGGAUGUAGAAAAUUCUGUAGCCAGAUUAGACGAGACUUUCAAUACAAAAGGCGGUGAUAGAGUUGAUGAUGAGUUGA
RNAcentral lists this unclassified non-coding RNA (221 nucleotides) under Hevea brasiliensis (rubber tree). The record is from RNAcentral. Lineage: Eukaryota; Viridiplantae; Streptophyta; Magnoliopsida; Malpighiales; Euphorbiaceae.